UCUCCGUUGGUGAACCAGCGGAGGGAUCAUUACCGUGUUUACAACUCCCAAACCCCAUGUGAACCUUACCAAACGUUGCUUCGGCGGGAUGCCCCGGGCGCGGGCCGCAAGGCCUCAGCCCCGGAACCAGGCGCCCGCCGGAGGCCCAAACCAAACUCUUGUUUUUGUAGAAUCUUCUGAGUGGCCUUUUAGGCAAAAAAUGAAUCAAAACUUUCAACAACGGAUCUCUUGGUUCUG
This 237-nucleotide unclassified non-coding RNA is filed under the name plant metagenome. RNAcentral's name for it is "partial contains small subunit ribosomal RNA, internal transcribed spacer 1, and 5.8S ribosomal RNA". The record is from RNAcentral.